Molecule: ribosomal RNA, 445 nt
Filed under: uncultured bacterium
Lineage: Bacteria
Description: bacterial SSU rRNA
Rfam family: Bacterial small subunit ribosomal RNA
Source: RNAcentral
AACGAACGCUGGCGGCAGGCUUAACACAUGCAAGUCGAACGGUUGUAGCAAUACAGCAGUGGCAGACGGGUGAGUAACACGUGGGAACCUUCCUAGGGGUACGGAACAACUCAGGGAAACUUGAGCUAAUACCGUAUACGUCCGUGGGGAGAAAGAUUUAUCGCCCUUAGACGGGCCCGCGUCGGAUUAGCUAGUUGGUGGGGUAACGGCCUACCAAGGCGACGAUCCGUAGCUGAUCUUAGAGGAUGAUCAGCCACACUGGGACUGAGACACGGCCCAGACUCCUACGGGAGGCAGCAGUGGGGAAUCUUGGACAAUGGGCGCAAGCCUGAUCCAGCCAUGCCGCGUGAGUGAAGAAGGUCUUCGGAUUGUAAAGCUCUUUGCCAGGGACGAUAAUGACGGUACCUGGAGAAUAAGCCCGGCAAACUUCGUGCCAGCAGCCGCG